Molecule: ribosomal RNA, 261 nt
Filed under: uncultured bacterium
Lineage: Bacteria
Description: partial 16S ribosomal RNA
Rfam family: Bacterial small subunit ribosomal RNA
Source: RNAcentral
UACGAAGGGGGCUAGCGUUGUUCGGAAUUACUGGGCGUAAAGCGCACGUAGGCGGAUAUUUAAGUCAGGGGGUGAAAUCCCAGAGCUCAACUCUGGAACUGCCUUUGAUACUGGGUAUCUCGAGUAUGGAAGAGGUAAGUGGAAUUCCGAGUGUAGAGGUGAAAUUCGUAGAUAUUCGGGAGGAACACCAGUGGCGAAGGGCGGCUUACUGGGUCCAUUACUGACGCUGGAGGGUGCGAAAGCGUGGGGGAGCAAAACAGG